GACGAACGCUGGCGGCGUGCCUAAUACAUGCAAGGCGAGCGCGGAAGGGUGGGUCGGGGACCAACGGGAGGAGCAGCGAACGGGGGAGGAACGCGGGGGGAAGCGGCCGGGGAGCGGGGGACAACAGUUGGAAACGAAUGCUAAUACCGCAUAAAAACUUUAAACACAAGUUUUAAGUUUGAAAGAUGCAAUUGCAUCACUCAAAGAUGAUCCCGCGUUGUAUUAGCUAGUUGGUGAGGUAAAGGCUCACCAAGGCGAUGAUACAUAGCCGACCUGAGAGGGUGAUCGGCCACAUUGGGACUGAGACACGGCCCAAACUCCUGCGGGAGGCAGCAGUAGGGAAUCUUCGGCAAUGGACGAAAGUCUGACCGAGCAACGCCGCGUGAGUGAAGAAGGUUUUCGGAUCGUAAAACUCUGUUGGUAGAGAAGAACGUUGGUGAGAGUGGAAAGCUCAUCAAGUGACGGUAACUACACAGAAAGGGACGGCUAACUACGUG
Molecule: ribosomal RNA, 497 nt
Filed under: uncultured bacterium
Lineage: Bacteria
Description: partial 16S ribosomal RNA
Rfam family: Bacterial small subunit ribosomal RNA
Source: RNAcentral